Molecule: transfer RNA, 65 nt
Filed under: Dipodomys ordii (Ord's kangaroo rat)
Lineage: Eukaryota; Metazoa; Chordata; Mammalia; Rodentia; Heteromyidae
Rfam family: tRNA
About the family: Transfer RNA (tRNA) molecules are approximately 80 nucleotides in length.
Source: Rfam by way of RNAcentral
GGUAGUUCAGUGGUAGAGUGCUUGCCUUGCAUGCAUGAGGCUCUGGGUUCAAUUCCUCAGUACCA